ACAGGUCUGUGAUGCCCU
RNAcentral lists this non-coding RNA (18 nucleotides) under Xenopus tropicalis (tropical clawed frog). Lineage: Eukaryota; Metazoa; Chordata; Amphibia; Anura; Pipidae. The record is from RNAcentral. RNAcentral also lists the same sequence under 2 other names.